AAAAAGGGCUUCUGUCGUGAGUGGCACACGUAGGGCAACUCGAUUGCUCUUCGUGCGGAAUCGACAUCAAGAGAUUUCGGAAGCAUAAUUUUUUGAUAUUCGGGCAGCUGGUGAUCGUUGGUCCUGGCGCCCUU
Molecule: small nuclear RNA, 134 nt
Organism: Papio anubis (olive baboon)
Lineage: Eukaryota; Metazoa; Chordata; Mammalia; Primates; Cercopithecidae
Source: Ensembl